AGUUACUGGAUAGAAUAUCGAAAAGAGAAUAUCCGACACCGAUUAAGAUGAACAUAUCAAGGAUAGACUCCGAGGGGAGAAAUAGGAAUUAUAUCUAUUAGUUACUAGAUAGAAAACCAAAAGAGAGAAUAUUUGUCACCGGUUAAGAUGAACAUAUCAAGGAUAGACUCCGCAGGGGGAAGCAGGAUUUACAACUACCGGUUACUGGGCAGAAAACCGCAAAG
RNAcentral lists this long non-coding RNA (224 nucleotides) under Lathyrus oleraceus (garden pea). RNAcentral describes it as "Pisum sativum (pea) long non-coding RNA (PSAT_LNC025717)". Lineage: Eukaryota; Viridiplantae; Streptophyta; Magnoliopsida; Fabales; Fabaceae. The record is from RNAcentral.